This 253-nucleotide ribosomal RNA is filed under the name uncultured bacterium. RNAcentral's name for it is "partial 16S ribosomal RNA". It matches the Rfam family "Bacterial small subunit ribosomal RNA", at positions 524 to 776 of the family's 1533-position model. RNAcentral also lists the same sequence under 1 other name. The record is from RNAcentral.
UACAGAGGUGGCAAACGUUGUCCGGAUUUAUUGGGUGUAAAGGGCAUGUAGGUGGUUCUAUAAGUCAAAGGUGAAAUGGCCCGGCUCAACCAGGUCAUUGCCUUUGAAACUGCAGAACUUGAGUACGGAAGAGGAAAGCGGAAUUCCCAGUGUAGCGGUGAAAUGCGUAGAUAUUGGGAGGAACACCGGUGGCGAAGGCGGCUUUCUGGUCCGAAACUGACACUGAGAUGCGAAAGCCAGGGGAGCAAACGGG